RNAcentral lists this ribosomal RNA (2156 nucleotides) under Ramomarthamyces barbatus. Its description in RNAcentral is "partial small subunit ribosomal RNA". It matches the Rfam family "Eukaryotic small subunit ribosomal RNA", at positions 21 to 1173 of the family's 1831-position model. The record is from RNAcentral. Lineage: Eukaryota; Fungi; Ascomycota; Leotiomycetes; Marthamycetales; Marthamycetaceae.
AGUCAUAUGCUUGUCUCAAAGAUUAAGCCAUGCAUGUCUAAGUAUAAGCAACUAUACUGUGAAACUGCGAAUGGCUCGAUGGGCCAUUCAAUACAAACAGAGCCUGGCGCUUCUGUAACAUCACUAUUAUGGGGAAAUUCCAGUGGUUCUUAGAGCCUCGCGAAUCCUCAGCCACCUCUGUUUAGGGGUCGGUCCAACGACUAGAUAGUGAAGGUCCCUAAUUUUAGGGAUUAAGAUAUAGUCUCAACUGGUGGCGCGAGCCCCUAGAUCCAUUGCAUUAUAUCAGUUAUCGUUUAUUUGAUAGUACCUACCUACUUGGAUAACCGUGGUAAUUCUAGAGCUAAUACAUGCUAAAAGCCUCGACUUCGGAAGGGGUGUAUUUAUUAGAUAAAAAACCAAUGCCCUUCGGGGCUCCUUGGUGAUUCAUAAUAACUAAACGAAUCGCAUGGCCUUGUGCCGGCGAUGGUUCAUUCAAAUUUYUGCCCUAUCAACUUUCGAUGUUAGUGUAGUGGACUAACAUGGUUUCAACGGGUAGAACGUUGCUCGUUGGAUAUCCUGUCUGGCUCCUAGGAGCUAGGCAACACUGCUGGUUCAGAAGAUGCAAGAUUGCUAAUUCUGGGGCGAGUGUAAAAACCGCCUAAACGCAUGGCAAGCAGUGGGCUUUUAAAUAAGCUUUAGGUACAUGCUAACCCUAUUGUUGUAAUCAAUAGGGGUAAAUGAACGGGGAAUUAGGUUAGUAGAUGCUCUACGCAUAUCACUACCGAAUUAUUGCUAACGAUAUUUAUAGGGUUCGGUUCCGGAGAGGGAGCCUGAGAAACGGCUACGUAAGUUUAUUACUCCAUCCUUUUUAUCAAUACUUAAGCUAACCAAAAAAAAAGCACAUCCAAGGAAGGCAGCAGGCGCGCAAAUUACCCAAUUCCGACACGGAGAGGUAGUGACGAUAAAUACUGAUACAGGGCUCUUUUGGGUCUUGUAAUUGGAAUGAGUACAAUUAAUCCCUUAACGAGGAACAAUUGGAGGGCAAGUUUGGUGGACAUUCAGUCCCAGCAAGCAGCCUACCGGGCAGCUGUUGAGCGCCAGUUAUAUACCAGUGUUCUCACUGUAUUAGUAGGGAAACCUGCUAGGCAUCCGGUACGGGGAAGAGCUUUUAUGCUUUAUCUCGUGGCAGUAAUAAACCACUGUCUUAACGCACGGAUAGGAUGCCGGUAGCGUGCAAGCGCUAUUUUGAGGGACGUGCUAAACCUGCCCGCGAGGGCGAUUCGACAGCCUCGAAUCUUAGGAGAUAUUGGCCAGCAGCCGCGGUAAUUCCAGCUCCAAUAGCGUAUAUUAAAGUUGUUGCAGUUAAAAAGCUCGUAGUUGAACCUUGGGCCUGGCUGGCCGGUCCGCCUCACCGCGUGCACUGGUCCGGCCGGGCCUUUCCUUCUAGGGAAUUGCAUGCCCUUCAUUGGGUGUGUUAAGGAUCUAGGACUUUUACUUUGAAAAAAUUAGAGUGUUCAAAGCAGGCCUAUGCUCGAAUACAUUAGCAUGGAAUAAUAGAAUAGGACGUGUGGUUCUAUUUUGUUGGUUUCUAGGACCGCCGUAAUGAUUAAUAGGGACAGUUGGGGGCAUCAGGUAAGCUAUUAAUCCUUUCUCAUCUUAAUUAAAGUACAGUAUAACUAACAGAUUUUAUAGUAUUCAAUUGUCAGAGGUGAAAUUCUUGGAUUUAUUGAAGACUAACUACUGCGAAAGCAUUUGCCAAAGAUGUUUUCAUUAAUCAGUGAACGAAAGUUAGGGGAUCGAAGACGAUUAUUUGGUCGUCCAUAGUGAGAUCUAGUCUAUUCGUAGGCAACACCAUUCAACUGAGGGGCCGCUUACCUGGUGGUAAGCCAAUCCACAGCCAUGCUUGUUCUCUCGGGAACAGGCACAGUCCACAGACUGAAUAAUGGUGGGCUUUAGCACUCUCUGGAAGUGUUAGGGCUUCUAAUACAGCCGGUCAGGUGCUGCUAAAGCACCUGAGAUCACGCAGAUACCGUCGUAGUCUUAACCAUAAACUAUGCCGACUAGGGAUCGGGCGAUGUUAUUUUUUGACUCGCUCGGCACCUUACGAGAAAUCAAAGUUUUUUGGGUUCUGGGGGGAGUAUGGUCGCAAGGCUGAAACUUAAAGGAAUUGACGGAAG